CUGCCUGCGCUCCUCUGCCACCGAGCUGAUCCAUACUGUGGCUCCGUUUUUCAAAGACAGGGAGCAGGUGCGAACUGGGUUGCUGUUUCCACUGUUGAGAUGAAAACUUCCGUGUACAGUUUCUUGAACUUCUUGGCGUGCGUGCUUUUGCACUGACACGGGACAAUCUUUCUUGUUCUCCCCAAUACCGGUGGAACCCUGAUAAAGUCAAACAGUCCCUAGCAUGAAUGAAUGAAUGAAUGAAUGAAACCAUGAAAGUCCUCUGGAGUCCCCGGAGACGCUUUUUGGAGGCCGCCGCCUUCCCCCCGCUGCCCGGGUUUCUGGAAGCCUAGGCCAGCGCGCUCCAGCCUCCGCGUGUGGGUGGUGGCUAAACGCGGUUUCCAGCAGCACCCGGGCAGAGGCCGGUUCGGGUCGGAGCGAGCAGUGAAGGGAGAGCCGGGCCCUUCCGGUUGUAUGCUGCCACUGCCUCACCUCUCCCCUGCAGAAGAUUCUGUAUGUUACAUAAUGUCCUCACUCUGGGAUUCCUCAAAUAUCCA
Long non-coding RNA from Erinaceus europaeus (western European hedgehog), 536 nucleotides. RefSeq lists it as uncharacterized. The transcript is spliced from 3 exons. The record is from RefSeq and is a predicted model, not a curated record. Lineage: Eukaryota; Metazoa; Chordata; Mammalia; Eulipotyphla; Erinaceidae.